CGUAACUCUUUUUGCUUGGAGUCCACAUUUCAUUUUCAACAGGCAUCUCUCUCAUGCUCUCUUUUCCCAACUCAGUAUAAAGGACAGGGUAGGAACAUUUUACCCAGAAUGUGAGACUACAAUUUAUUUGUCAACUUUUGGGCAAUCUAUUUUAAACUGACCCAGAAAAUGCUUAGACGACGAUUCUGCGUCUAACAGAAAUCAUGGGGUCAAGUCAAUUCCAGGCUAGUAUCAGCUAAUUUUGGCUCUCAUCUGGCCGUCUCAGUCCUUGAAUAAUUCAAGGAGGCAGGAUCAGAGUGAGCUUCAUACUACCAUUGCUUCUUCCCCUUUUUCUUUCUCUUGUUUCCACUUCCACUACCGUUGCUUGUACUACUACUACUACUCUUGGAGGUACUUCCAGCUGGUGUAGAUGGGCUCUGUGGCGUGCUGCCAUCAAAAUCAUCAAACAUACCCGCUUCUACAGCAUUCUGUAGCCACUCGACAAAUUCUUCCUCGGUCAUGCUCUCUUCCAUAUUUGGCAUUGGCAUCCCACUUUUUUGUCCUGAGCUACUUCUCUUCCAAUUGCUGUUCUUCAAGGUUACACUAGUAUUUACAUGGAAGCUUGGUUUGUGACUGUUGACCGGACAUCUCAUUCCCUGACAUAUAUACCAUUCAGUUGCGUUAUAGAUCCUGCUAUCAGCACAAACAUAGGCAACAGGAUUAUCUACCUUCAGUAGCAUUCCGAAAAAGAAUGGAUGUGAAGGCUGUUCAACCCAUCCAUCUCCGUCUUUUGCUGGAUGAAAAUCUUUGCAUUCCUGGCACCAUCUUGCUUUGGACUUAGUUUUCUUAGUGACAACCCAGACAUGAAAGUUGCCACACUUUUUGCAAGUAAUUCGCCGAGCUUCUCCAAGUGGAUCCUCGCCCGCAGCUUCUGUCUGAGUGAAACCAGAGGUGAAGAAUCCAUAGCCUCUACCCUUUUGAGAAGGACUUUGGAACCGAUGAAGGUAAUUUACCAGCUCUUCCCUCCUCAAUUCAUCAUCGUAUGCUUUUCGUUUAAAAGAAUCAAGUAAAACCUCAUAGGCGUUUUGAAGUUUCAUAAAAGCUUCAGCAGCCUUUUCAUUACCCAUAUUUUUGUCAGGAUGGACCAGCAUUGCCUUUUUCCUAUAUUCUCUCUUGAGAACUGAAGCAUCAGUAUUCUGAAAUCGCAUUAGGCCCAGUGCUGAAUAGUGAUUUGUACUGUUUAAUAAUCUGAGAACUUCAUCUUCGGAAGUCAUCUCAACAUCAGAUCCACUAGUUGAAGGGAUGCCAGUGUCACGAUCAACAGGAUGAACAUACCCAUCAUCAGUAGAUGGAGGCACUGAUCCACGCGAACAGAAGCUAGGUUCACCUUGUACUCCAGUUGUUUGAUCAGGAAAGGUGUGGGCCCUUCUUUGCUCAUUUACAUUGUUUCUUAAGAAGAAUAUGAGAAUAUCACUCGAAAUAAAUGACAAAUUCAAUAUGAAGAUUAAACCUAUCCAUCCAACAUAUGUCCAUGCGCAAAAUACAGAAUACGAAGUUAUGACAAACACUGCAAGCCGUUCAUGUUUCAACCUAUAAAGAGCUCCUCCACUCAAGACCAGAAGAACUGCUGCCCAAAAUCUUCCAUAG
This 1626-nucleotide unclassified non-coding RNA is filed under the name Hevea brasiliensis (rubber tree). The record is from RNAcentral. Lineage: Eukaryota; Viridiplantae; Streptophyta; Magnoliopsida; Malpighiales; Euphorbiaceae.